RNAcentral lists this ribosomal RNA (253 nucleotides) under uncultured bacterium. RNAcentral describes it as "partial 16S ribosomal RNA". It matches the Rfam family "Bacterial small subunit ribosomal RNA", at positions 524 to 776 of the family's 1533-position model. The record is from RNAcentral.
UACGAACUGUGCAAACGUUAUUCGGAAUCACUGGGCUUAAAGGGUGCGUAGGCGGCUCGUUAGGUAGGGUGUGAAAGCCCCCGGCUCAACCGGGGAAUUGCGCCCUAAACCGGCGGGCUGGAGUGAGAUAGGGGUGUGUGGAACUUCCGGUGGAGCGGUGAAAUGUGUUGAUAUCGGAAGGAACGCCGGUGGCGAAAGCGACACACUGGGUCUCAACUGACGCUGAGGCGCGAAAGCCAGGGGAGCGAACGGG